RNAcentral lists this unclassified non-coding RNA (2207 nucleotides) under Hevea brasiliensis (rubber tree). The record is from RNAcentral. Lineage: Eukaryota; Viridiplantae; Streptophyta; Magnoliopsida; Malpighiales; Euphorbiaceae.
GUAACAUUUUCACUAUUAUACUGGAUUUUCCUGAAACAAUGAUACUUUGUCCAUCCAACAAAUUCAAAAGCAGCCAAGCAAGGUUCCAUGAAGAGAGUAAAUCAUUCACCCGAUUAUCAUCUUGACAAACACUAGAAGAAAAAAUUCAGCUGUUCCCUUCACAAUUCAAAUCAGCAAUAAUGAAUAAAGCAACACUUCUCUCUAGUUUCUUGUAUUUAAGACAAAAAAUGAGCAAGCUGCUGUGGUAUAUAUCAUGGUAUAACAGAGAAGAUGAAAUCCAGUUGACUUCUACUUACGAUACCCCCCGCGUCCAGCAGGCCUUGAUAGAUAUACUGCCAAUAAAAUGAAGCUCUUCUGAUUACCUGACUGAUCCAAAUUCAAAACUAUGAACUAGUUGCGCUUCUUUUCUAGACUUGCUGCUACACGACGUUGCCUUUGCUUCCAGGCAGGCAUCUUACCAGGGAAAGCCCACCUUAACAACCUUUCCCACGCAUAGCAGACCAAAAAUGUCAUGAAUGCCCAAAUCAGCAGCUUAUCUCUCAACCCUUUUGGCAUAGGAACUAACUUCAACCAGUCAUUUAAGUCCCUAAACAAAUCUGAGGUAAUAACUGUGAAGAAACCCACCGCAGCCAAAAGUGCGUAUAAGAAUGGUUUGUUUUCAGGUAUGCUCUGGUUGAAAGGGUGGCCCAUGUAGUUCACAGCAAACGUUGCUACCUGUAGCAUCAAACCCACCAUGUAUGAAACCGUAUUAACAAGGUUUGGAUGAAACUCUGAGUCUGGCUCAAUGCAUUCGUCCGGCAUGUACUUGGUAGCUUCAUUAACAGAGGAAAUUAAGAAAAGUAGGUGGAUAGCAAAUUGUCCGAGGAGAGAGAGGAAGACAUAGGCACAGAAAAUGUUAGGAUGGGGUCGCUCAGCUGAAAGUGUCGGAAGGGGCCGAGCAUGUGAGAUAAACAGAAAGAAGGCUGCAGUGAAGACCCCACUGAUUGUAGCUUGAAUAUCACCCAACUUGACACCAUCUAAAUACAUUACACUCAGGACAUAGGCAGUAGCAAGGCAGUUUAGUCCAAGUAUCUUAAACAUCUGCAGGGUGGUUACUAGAGUACUACGACCUUGACGAAUGAUAUCAGUGGUAGGGCAGACAGAAGCAUGUUUUGCAGUGAAUGGUGAUGCCAUUGAUGCGUCCCCAAGUUUGACAAUUGGUGCCUGACCAUCACCUCCUCCCUCAUUAAGCUCAUCCAUGAGUUUCUUAAGCUUCUGCCGCUGCAUCUCUGCAGGUGUAAGAUGGCGAUUACCAGCUUGGCUGCUGCUGGUAGCUUUACUUUUUGAAGCACCUUCACCAUUUUCUGUAGCAGAUUUAAGUUUCUUCAACUUGGCAGGUUUUGCAGUAUCAUUUUUAGAUGAUCCAUCAGAAGACUUUUGCCCUUUAGGGGGAGGUAUUGCAUUAAGUAGAGCUACUCCCACAUGUGCCUGCUUUAGAGCUCCAACAUCAUUAGUCCCAUCACCACACAUCAAUGUCAUUCUUCCCACGGAUUUAAAAGUGGUUAAUAUAAGUUCUUUUUGCUCAGGGGCAACCCUUGCAAAUACCUUUACAUAAGGAACAACUUUGGGGACAGCAGAUGUCUGCUGCAACAUCUCGAUGCACUCGCCUCCAAUACAGAGAUCGUAAGCUUCUGAUAAAGCUCCAACUUCAUUUUCACUGUAGCUGACUAUAUGGGUCUCAUCAGGAGAAACCCAGGCAUAUUCUUCCUUGUUCUUAGCACGUCCCAGAAUCAGUGCUGGUUUUGAGAUAAUAUGGACUUGUUGAGCCACGUGGCAAGCUGUCAAAGCUUGAUCACCAGUAAUCAUGACCAAGUCAUGAGAUGAUUGCUUUAAUUCAGUCAAGACAGUGGCUGAGUCUCCUCUGAUGGGGCAAUUGAACACCGCAAAACCAGCAAAAGUAAGCCCACUUUCCACUACAUCUCUCUCCAGGCUUCUGGCUUCACUAACUGUCAUAUCUGGCAGAGACUUAAAAGCCAGAGCCAAAACACGUGAUCCUUGACGGGUGUAUUUUUUAUAGGUUGGCACGUAGGAUUGUGGCACAUCAAUGAGCCUUUCCUGUAUUGUCUCAGGUGCACCCUUGACAAAAGCAAAAAAUUGCUCCUGAACACGAACAACAACAGCCAUUCUUUUCAAGUGAGAAGCAAAAUGAUGUCGCUGCACAAUUUGAA